UUGGUCGACUUAGUUAAGCCAUUCCAUGGGAUCGUCACCGAUAAAGGUAGGAAAUUCGAGCUUAGCAAACUUGGAGUAGAAGAGUUGUCAACUCCCAUGGACUUUUUUAGUGUUGUCAUCUGGGGGCAUUCACGUUUGGCCUGGUUGGUUCAGGAGUGGUUGUUGGAUCUUUCUCUAUUUGACGUGUCAACAUCUGUGAGUCGUUUAAGAGUCUCCUCCAGCUGAUGGAUCUUAUCAGCCACAACUAUUUCCAUGCGAUUCAUGCUCUAUUGUAAGCCACUCAAGCCAAUUUCCAGAUUCUCAAGACUCUCUUUAUUGGUGUCCAUCGAUUAACUUGCUCUGAUA
Molecule: long non-coding RNA, 345 nt
Filed under: Carica papaya (papaya)
Lineage: Eukaryota; Viridiplantae; Streptophyta; Magnoliopsida; Brassicales; Caricaceae
Description: long non-coding RNA (CPAP_LNC015508)
Source: RNAcentral